RNAcentral lists this ribosomal RNA (1896 nucleotides) under seawater metagenome. RNAcentral's name for it is "bacterial LSU rRNA". It matches the Rfam family "Bacterial large subunit ribosomal RNA", at positions 1 to 1976 of the family's 2925-position model. The record is from RNAcentral.
UCAAGCGCGAAAAGGGCGUUUGGUGAAUGCCUUGGCAGUAAGAGGCGAUGAAGGACGUGAUACUCUGCGAUAAGUUAUGGGGAGCUGAGAAUAAGCUUUGAUCCAUAAAUUUCCGAAUGGGGCAACCCACCUGAUAUUUUGUUAUUGUUGCACUUCGGUGCAUUCAAUAAUGAGGUAAACCAGGUAUUUAUAACUUGAAUACAUAGGGUUAUAAAAGCAAACCCGGGGAACUGAAACAUCUAAGUACCCGGAGGAAAGGACAUCAAUUAGAUACUCCCCUAGUAGCGGCGAGCGAACGGGGAUCAGCCGAGCCAUGAAUGUGACUAGAAUGUGUUGGAAAGCACAACCGUAGUGGGUGACAGUCCCGUAUAGGAAGCAUGAUUGGACGUAUUAAGUAGGGCGGGACACGUGAAAUCCUGUUCGAAGAUCGGAGGACCACCUCCGAAGGCUAAGUACUCCUUACUGACCGAUAGUGAACCAGUACCGUGAGGGAAAGGUGAAAAGCACCCCGACGAGGGGAGUGAAACAGUUUCUGAAACCGGACGCCUACAAUCAGUCGGAGGCCCCUUGAGGGCUGACGGCGUACCUUUUGUAUAAUGGGUCAUCGACUUAGUGUAUCUAGCAAGCUUAAGCCGUUAGGUGUAGGCGCAGCGAAAGCGAGUCUUAAUAGGGCGAUUGAGUUAGAUGCAUUAGACCCGAAACCGAGUGAUCUAGGCAUGAGCAGGUUGAAGGUAAGGUAACACUUACUGGAGGACCGAACCCACAUCUGUUGAAAAAGAUCGGGAUGACUUGUGCCUAGGGGUGAAAGGCCAAUCAAACUCGGAGAUAGCUGGUUCUCCGCGAAAUCUAUUUAGGUAGAGCGUCAUCCGAAUACCCCGGGGGGUAGAGCACUGGAUGGGUAAUGGGGCCUCACCGGCUUACUGAUCCUAACCAAACUCCGAAUACCCGGGAGUAAUAGAUGGCAGACACACUGCGGGUGCUAACGCCCGUAGUGAAAAGGGAAACAACCCUGACCGACAGUUAAGGCCCCUAAUUCAUGGCUAAGUGGGAAAGCAGGUGGGACGACCAAAACAACCAGGAAGUUGGCUUAGAAGCAGCCAUCUUUUAAAGAUAGCGUAACAGCUCACUGGUCUAAUUUAAGUUAUCCUGCGGCGAAGAUGUACCGGGGCUCAAGCCAUGAGCCGAAGCUAGGGAUGCAAUUUAUUGCAUGGUAGCGGAGCGUUCUGUGAUAUAGAACGCUGCGUCUUUAGUAUCUUAGGAUAUUGUGGACGCAAUGUUCUGACUGUGAAGCCGGCGCGUAAGCGAUCCGGUGGAGUGAUCAGAAGUGAGAAUGUUGACAUGAGUAGCGACAAACAGGGUGAGAGACCCUGUCGCCGAAAGUCCAAGGGUUCCUGCUUAAAGCUAAUCUGAGCAGGGUAAGCCGACCCCUAAGGCGAGGCCGAAAGGCGUAGUCGAUGGGAACCAGUUUAAUAUUACUGGGCCAGGAGAUGGUGACGGAUCGAAAGCGUAGUGACUCCUUAUCGGAUUGAAGUUGCUGCCGGACGGUUCCUGGAAAUAGCCCUCCAUUAGAUCGUACCCUAAACCAACACAGGUGGACUGGUAGAGAAUACCAAGGCGCUUGAGAGAACUACAUUGAAGGAACUCGGCAAAAUGCCUCCGUAAGUUCGCGAGAAGGAGGCCCCAUCAGAAGGCAACUUUUGGUGGGGGGCACAGACCAGGGGGUGGCGACUGUUUACUAAAAACACAGGGCUCUGCGAAGUCGUAAGACGACGUAUAGGGUCUGACGCCUGCCCGGUGCCUGAAGGUUAAAAGGAGGGGUGAGAGCUCCGAAUUGAAGCCCAGGUAAACGGCGGCCGUAACUAUAACGGUCCUAAGGUAGCGAAAUUCCUUGUCGGG